Molecule: long non-coding RNA, 351 nt
Filed under: Elaeis guineensis (African oil palm)
Lineage: Eukaryota; Viridiplantae; Streptophyta; Magnoliopsida; Arecales; Arecaceae
Description: long non-coding RNA (EGUI_LNC065758)
Source: RNAcentral
UGGAUUUUUUAGAGGUGAUCUUAGAGGUGUUCUUCAUCUGGAACGAAAGGCUGACGAAGAAGACAGCAACCAGGCUGAUUUCGUCAAGGGCCUUCAAUCGAGUCCAGAAGUCUCCAGAUCUGUUCGUUGCUGGUUCCGCUGCACCCAAGGUCCGUGGGAGGAGCUGGGAUCAUGCUCCAACAAGUCUAUCAGAUUUUCUAGUAAUCUCCCAUUCUAGGCUCUUUUCUGCUAAAUCCUCUAGAAAUUAUCAGGCUUCUAUAGGCUCUUUGUUCAUGAAUUGACCCUGACACAUUGAUUCUAACAUGAUUCUGGAGUUUGGAUCUAGUCUUUCAUAAAUGAUUUGGCACGGCC